GAUGAAGAACGUAGCGAAAUGCGAUACGUAAUGUGAAUUGCAGAAUUCAGUGAAUCAUCGAGUCUUUGAACGCACAUUGCGCCCCCUGGUAUUCCGGGGGGCAUGCCUGUCCGAGCGUCAUUGCUGCCCUCAAGCACGGCUUGUGUGUUGGGCCUCCGUCCUCCUCCCGGGGGACGGGCCCGAAUGGCAGCGGCGGCACCGCGUCCGGUCCUCGAGCGUAUGGGGCUUCGUCACCCGCUCUUGUAGGCCCGGCCGGCGCUUGCCGACACAUCAAUCUUUUUUCCAGGUUGACCUCGGAUCAGGUAGGGAUACCCGCUGAACUUAAGCAUAUCAAUAAGCGGAGGA
This 345-nucleotide unclassified non-coding RNA is filed under the name soil metagenome. RNAcentral's name for it is "partial contains 5.8S ribosomal RNA, internal transcribed spacer 2, and large subunit ribosomal RNA". The stretch from base 1 to 120 matches the Rfam family "5.8S ribosomal RNA", at positions 35 to 154 of the family's 154-position model. The record is from RNAcentral.